CGCCUCCCGCCUCCCUCCUCCCUCUCCAAGCCCAGGGAAAAAUAGUAUUCUCUGUGCGGCAGCUAGUCCCAGGAUACUUGGAGAACAGAGAAGAAAAGAAUGUCAAGGGGAGGAAACAAGGAGAGCCAAGAAAAGGGGCGCUGUGAAAACCGUUUUCAUUUCUCUUCCAUCCCUUCAAUGGCCUGGGAAAAGCCUGGAAGAUGCUUCUGUUAAGUGGAAACAACACAACAGUCCGUCUGUGGAUGAGUGGAUAAGCAAAGUGGGAUCUAUCCGUACAACGGAUUACUAUUCAGCCUUAAAAAUGAAGGAAAUUCUGACACAUGCUACAGCAUAGCUGUACCUGGAAGACAUCAUGGUAAGUGACAUAAGCCAGUCAGAAAAG
Molecule: long non-coding RNA, 382 nt
Organism: Lontra canadensis (Northern American river otter)
Lineage: Eukaryota; Metazoa; Chordata; Mammalia; Carnivora; Mustelidae
Exons: 3
Source: RefSeq, a predicted model, not a curated record